This 253-nucleotide ribosomal RNA is filed under the name uncultured bacterium. Its description in RNAcentral is "partial 16S ribosomal RNA". It matches the Rfam family "Bacterial small subunit ribosomal RNA", at positions 524 to 776 of the family's 1533-position model. The record is from RNAcentral.
UACGAAGGGGGCUAGCGUUGCUCGGAAUCACUGGGCGUAAAGCGCACGUAGGCGGGUCUUUAAGUCAGGGGUGAAAUCCUGGAGCUCAACUCCAGAACUGCCUUUGAUACUGGGGAUCUCGAGUCCGGAAGAGGUGAGUGGAGCUCCGAGUGUAGAGGUGAAAUUCGUAGAUAUUCGGAAGAACACCAGUGGCGAAGGCGGCUCACUGGUCCGGUACUGACGCUGAGGUGCGAAAGCGUGGGGAGCAAACAGG